Micropterus dolomieu (smallmouth bass) is the source of this 3994-nucleotide RNA transcript. It is a transcript of the gene named atlastin 3, with no coding region annotated. The record is from RefSeq and is a predicted model, not a curated record. NCBI's taxonomy places the organism in Eukaryota, Metazoa, Chordata, Actinopteri, Centrarchiformes, Centrarchidae. The transcript has 14 exons.
ACGUUUGAGUUUCGUGGUGCGGGGAAAAAAGUUAUCGCUCCUCUGAAGACCAUAGAAGAAGAAGAAAAAGUUAUUGUGUUUUGUUUUCAUGCCAGGGUAAAAAAAAGUCACCUUUCAGUGGUGUCUUGACUCUUUUGUGAUUGUGUUGAAGCCGUUUGAAGACACCAAAGUGACCAGUACCUCUUAAGGAUGCGGAGUGAACCAGGCCCAGUUCAGAUCGUCACAGUGUGUAAGGAGAAUCACUCUUUUGCUUUGGACACAAAGGCUUUAGCUCAGGUUCUGUUGGCUCCCAAGGUCCGAGACAAACAUGUGGUGGUCCUGUCAGUGGCUGGAGCCUUCAGAAAGGGAAAGAGCUUCCUGCUUGAUUUCAUGCUUCGUUACUUAUACAGACAGAGUGAUGAAAACUGGCUGGGUCAAAAUGAUGAGCCCCUGACAGGAUUUUCUUGGAGAGGGGGUUCAGAACCAGAGACAACAGGCAUCCAGCUGUGGAGUGAAGUUUUCCCUGUAAAAAAGAGCGAUGGGACAGAGGUGGCAGUAGUGUUGAUGGACACUCAGGGAGCCUUUGAUAACCAGUCCACCGUGAAGGAUUGUGCCACCAUCUUUGCCCUCAGCACCAUGACAAGUUCCAUACAGAUCUACAAUCUGUCACAGAACAUACAAGAGGACGAUCUGCAGCAGCUACAGCUGUUCACGGAGUAUGGUCGUCUUGCUAUGGAUGAGAUCUUUCUGAAACCCUUUCAGUCUUUGAUGUUCCUAAUCAGGGACUGGAGCUUUCCCUAUGAAUAUGCGUACGGGUUUAAAGGAGGCAGUGAUUUCCUGGAUAAAAGAUUACAGGUUAAGGUGACCCAACAUGAGGAGCUGCAAACAGUGAGGCAGCACAUCCAUUCAUGCUUCACCAGCAUUUCUUGCUUCCUGUUACCUCACCCUGGAUUGAAUGUUGCCACCAGCCCUGCUUUUCGGGGACAGCUUAAGGACGUGGCCUCGGAGUUCAGAGAGCAGCUGAAGAGCCUCAUUCCCAAACUGCUGCACCCGGAUCGUCUGGCUGUGAAAGAAAUACAUGGAAACAAAGUCACCUGCCGGGGCUUGCUGGAGUACUUCAAGGCUUACAUCAAGAUUUACCAGGGAGAAGACUUGCCGCAGCCAAAGACGAUGCUUAUGGCUACAGCAGAGGCAAACAACCUGGCAGCCGUGGCAGCAGCCAAAGAUCAGUAUUACAAGAAUAUGGAGAAGGUGUGUGGGGGAGACUUGCCCUAUGUGUCUCCUGACUCUCUGGAGGAAAAGCAUCGCUUUUUUUUCGGAGAGGCUCUUCAUAACUUCUCCUCAACCAAGAAGAUGGGCGGACAAGAUUUUUGUAAGCGUUACCAAGCACAGCUGGAACAGGAGCUGGAGGACAUGUGGCAGUCAUACAGCAAGCACAAUGAGGCAAAAAAAUCUCUUGAGCGCCUUCCGGACACCUGCAGUUCUGUUUGUCUUGGUGUGCCUCCUCUAUGUGCUGUCAGGCGUGUUGCUCUUCAUUGGCCUGUCUACCUUCGCCUUGGUGUGUGACUGUACUCUGGGUGUGGUCAUGAUGUCAAUGCUGACGUGGGCCUUCAUCCGCUUCUCUGGUCGAUACCGGACUGUCGGAGGAGCCAUCGACCAGGCUGCAGGUGUCGUCCUGGAGCAGGCCACCGUGGUGUUGAACAAGUCAAGAAGUACAAGCAUUGGUCACCAGAAGAAAUCUCGUUAGAGGACCUCUGAACCUUCAUAAUCUCGAUGCAAUGCAACCAGAGCACAACACAAGCACACAUUCAGCACUAAAGCCUUAUCAUGCCACCCAUUGGAACAAACAUGCAGCUGAACUACAUUGGCACAUGGUAUAAAACAUGAUGCCAAUUCACCAGCAUCUUUAUUAUGCAGGUUCCUCUGCCUGUUAAACUCCAGGCUCAUAUAAAGGUGACUGGAGCAGGGAGUUAAACCAACCCAAUCCCUCUUAUUGAUACUUCUUGUCUUUAAUUGACACUCAUUUUACAAGUUUACAAUCGGUCUUAAGAGACAAGUUGAUGUUUACCUUUAAACUUACAAAACACUUACAUAUUUUCUAUUUCAGCUGAAUGGAUCUUUCUUGGCUGUAAUUUUGUUCAGAGAGGGGUAGUCAGGGUGUGCUUCAGCCAAAGCUUCUGCAGUAUAUCUUAUUACCUUUUUAAAAGCAAAAGUGCUGGCUUUAUAGCUUAUACAUUUAUACAUAUUUGUUUGUGGCUAUAUUUUUUUACUUUGUGGCCUUGAAAACAUUCCAUUCUUUUUGGGGAUUUGCUUUAUAUUUGAUAUAAACUAGUAUUUCCAUAAGAGGAUACGCACUUUCUGUAUAGCACAGUAUAUUUUGGGAGGCUGCAUGUAAUGGGAGUUUGGGUGAAUCUCACUGGUUUCUGUGCUUUACCAUUUAUUCCUUGAUGGAAAUGUCUUAGACUUUAUAGAUUUUGAUACAAUAUACUAGAAAUUAUACAUAGAAACUUAUAAUUAGCAAAACUUUCCAACUCCAAAGAUAAAACAUUGUAAUACUGACAGGUGUUGAACUUCCAAUAUAAUAAAACUAGCAACCAGUCAGCCGUAGAGUUCACUUUAAAUAUUUGAAUUAUGCAUUGGCAUUGUAGUCAUCACUUCAAACCUCAGUUAUUAAAUAUACUCAGUGUUAAACAUGCAUGGAACAAAUAAACAAGCAGGAUGUUUAAAUAGAAAGACAGAAAUGUAAGCAGUAGAAAUCUAAAGGAAAUGUGACUGAGUGCUGUCCCCGUUUGUACAUGUGUCUAUUUUCAGCAGCACGUGGACAGAUUCUGAUCAAAUUUGGUGGUUGUCAAAAUCCUUAACAUGUAGUAAUGUGAGUAUGCUUGUGAGAAAUUAUUCCCUGCAUAACACACUCACCAACCAUUCUUAGCCUCUGCUAUAAGCUCUGCUGUGAAAACACUCAUUAGCAGUUUAUCGAGUUCACAUUGAUGAUCUGGCUGCAGCCAUUUGUCGACUAUUUCACAGUUUUUAUUCAUUCUCCACAAAGGUUUUCAUCUAAACUUUGUACUUAGUAAACUGUAUAAGAAAACUUGGUCAAUGUUAAAUUUCUUUUUUUUGAAUAUGACAAAUAUUUGGUUUCUGAUUAAAUAAUCACUAUCGGCUUGAAAGUAUUGAGAGUCAGAGCUUUGCGUCAAAUGACUUCCACGUAAUGGUAGCAUAUUAUAUAAUAAAUAACCAUGUGACAGACAAGGACAAAUAAUAAAUGUGGGCUGACUUGUUUCUUUGGUCCUCAUUUACCUGCAGCCAUUUAACCAAUCAGCCGAGUCUUUGAAAAAUCAAUCAUACAGGGAAUUAAAAAGAUUUGACUACACCAUGGAUUGAUUAGGUUUUAGUUUUUCUUUGUGGGACCAAGCGGGGCUUCUCAGGCCAACUCGGAAUGAAUCAGGCAUUGGAAUAAAGGAUUGUUUGCAACCAUGCCCUACAUUUCUGAAUAUCAAAAUAAAUGCAGGUUCUUUUAGAGAAAUUAGAUUGGGGAAGUGGAAUGGCAAAAUUUAGUUUAGUGAAAUGAGCCUUCUAAAUGCAACAAGACUGUGUGACCUGAGAGCGAAAGUAGCAUCCUGUAGUCUAUACAGGUUUUACAUUGUGCACUUCAACAACUAACCAUAUCUUCCAUGACACUGUAGGUGUACGAUUUAAGUAUACAGGGCCAAAGGAGAAAAUGUGGAAAUUUGGAGGAUGAGAGACUUUCUCAGUCGCAAGAUUUUUGACCCUCACUUUGCACAUUCCAUUUCUGUACCUUUCCACAAGAGGAGGAAACUUCAAGUUCUUUUUUUCAUGCACUUAUUGUUGCUCUUCCCCUCCUCUUUGGUGCUUUUUGCACACAGCUUGUUCCAAAAGUAAAUAAAUGCAUGCAAUAUUGUGGUAACGGUUAAUGUAAUCUCUUGCAGGGCUAUGGUGGCCUUGACUUGAGAAAUGCAGUUUUUUUAAAAGAAUAAACAAAGCUUGAAACUGUUAA